GGGUUUUAAGCUUUUGGUCCUUGAGCUUAAUAUCAAAACGGGAGCAGGAGAAAGGGAGAGAGCUGGACAAUGGCACACUUGACGGUGCAGCCGAGCUGGUCAGGAGACCUGGACAAGCUUCUUCUCAGGCCCGGCAAUCUCGUCGCCCCUGCCUUUGAACCUGGAACCCAAUUGAGGGAUGGUCUUCAAGAGUAUGUUCGAAUAUUGGUAGUGGGAGCCGGUGGAUUGGGCUGCGAGCUGCUAAAGGACUUGGCCCUAUCGGGUUUUAAGAAUUUGGAGGUCAUCGACAUGGACCGCAUCGAGGUUUCUAAUCUCAAUCGUCAGUUCCUCUUCAGGCUUGAAGAUGUUGGUAAGCCAAAGGCUGAAGUCGCAGCCAAGCGUGUUAUGGAAAGAGUUAGUGAUGUGAAUAUUGUGCCACAUUUUUGCCGGAUUGAGGACAAAGAACUGGAUUUUUAUAAUGAUUUUAGUAUUAUUGUGCUUGGUCUUGAUUCCAUUGAGGCGCGGAGCUAUAUAAAUGCUGUAGCUUGUAGUUUUCUUGAGUAUGAUUCUGAUGACAACCCUCGGGAAGAAACGAUCAAACCCAUGGUAGAUGGUGGGACUGAAGGUUUUAAAGGCCAUGCUAGAGUUAUUAUGCUGGGAGUCACACCAUGUUUUGAGUGUACCAUCUGGCUUUUCCCUCCUCAAGUCAAGUUUCCUCUGUGCACUCUUGCAGAAACCCCUAGAACUCCUGCUCAUUGUAUUGAAUAUGCUCAUUUAAUUAAAUGGGAUGAGGUACUACAUUAAUCAUCCUUUCCCACUCCUGAAGUGAGAGUUUUCCAGUUAAUUGUUCCUAUUUUAUGAUCAUUAUAUUUGUAGGUUCAUAGUGGAAAGACUUUUGAUCCAGAUGACCCAGAACAUAUGAAGUGGGUUUAUACUGAGGCUGUCAGGAGAGCUGAGCUUUUUGGCAUUCAAGGAGUUACAUAUUCACUUACUCAGGUACAUUUAGAUUUUAGGAAUUAAUUUUUCCAGAUCUGCAAAGCUGCCUGAUCAUACUGAAAAGAGUUGGAAAAUGACUUAUCGUUAUUCUAAAUUUUCUGAUUUGAUCCUUGGAACACAUCCCCUUUACCAAUCAGCUGGGCUACUGCAGUCCUCUUUUUUACCUGUGAUCCUUGGAGAACUGCUGGGGCACCCCAGUCAUUUUUUUAUGGUGCCUGUGGUACUUCUGGCACAGAGAGUCAGAGAGAGAAAGAGAAGGGAAGUUCUAUAAAAUGCCCGAUUGAAGAAGGGAAGUUCUAUAAAAUGCGUGAUUGAAGUAUAAUUAUUAUUGGCUUCAUCAAAUUGUUUCCAUAUCCCUUUUCUUCCUUUUCCUUCCUGUGCUGGAACAAAUUCUUUCUCCCUCUUUUACAGGGUGUUGUGAAAAACAUCAUACCAGCUAUUGCUUCCACCAAUGCAAUAAUUUCAGCUGCAUGUGCAUUGGAAACCUUGAUGAUUUCAUCAGGAUGCAGCAAAACUCUAUCCAACUAUCUUACAUGAGUACAUUUCUCCUGGAUUAAUUGAUUGAUUGAGUGAUUAAUUUAUGUAACUUAAUCUGUUUCUCUAGCAAAUGGCAAAGUGUACUGAAUGGUUUGAAUCUUGCAUAGGUAUAAUGGCGUGGAAGGUCUCCAUGUUAAAGUAACUGAAUUUGUGAAGGACAAGGACUGUCUUGUUUGCGGUCCAGGUGUUCUUAUCCAGCUAGACACUUCAGUUACAUUACAAAAGUUUAUUGAUAUGCUUGAAGAGCAUCAUUAGCUGUUCUUAUCAAAAGCAAGCGUCACACACCGGGGGAAGAAUUUGUACAUGCAGGCACCCCCAGUUCUAGAAGAGAUGACUCGAUCAAAUCUAAGUUUACCACUAUUUGAACUUAUGGGUAAAGUGCCAAAAGACAUUGUGCAUGUGACAGGUAUAACCUGCCAAAACGGCAGUAAAAUCUCGUGUCUCAGAAAAUUACGAGUUUAUUUCAGGGGAAAUGAGGCGGUCACAGGCAUGGACAUGGCUGGUGGGGCAUAAUUUUGCAUGCAGCACUUCUCAAUUCCAGAAAGAUACUCUUUUAGAAAUUUCCUUUACUGAAGGGAGAAGUUGGUGAGCAACCUAAAAUCCAUUUUUAUCACAAUUUAUCAGGAUAUGUUUCAUCAAAGAAACGGUUGUAGACAAGAGAGCAACGUUAUUAACAAAGAUUUUUACUUCUGUUAUUUUUGCUAAGGGAUAUUAAUGUACAGUUAGACCAUGCGUAUUGCGAAGCCUCCCUCUCGAGUAAUUAUACAGUUCCCUCUCGGGUAUACUUGCUUUGUAUAUAUGUUUGUCUUUCUGUAUAAGUUAUUUUACAAAUAACUGAUAGUAGAAUAUAAUUUCUAUACCCAUGUGAAAAUUUCAAUGUAAGAACUUCUGAUUGAG
RNAcentral lists this unclassified non-coding RNA (2409 nucleotides) under Hevea brasiliensis (rubber tree). The record is from RNAcentral. Lineage: Eukaryota; Viridiplantae; Streptophyta; Magnoliopsida; Malpighiales; Euphorbiaceae.